GUGCUCACUCCAGCAGCAUGUAUACUAACAUUAGAAUGAUACAGAGAAGAUUAGCAUGCCUCCUGCUCAAGGAUGACAUGGGAUUUUGCGAAGCCUUCCCUGUUUUU
Meriones unguiculatus (Mongolian gerbil) is the source of this 107-nucleotide small nuclear RNA. NCBI's taxonomy places the organism in Eukaryota, Metazoa, Chordata, Mammalia, Rodentia, Muridae. The record is from Ensembl.